AUGAAGAACGCAGCGAAAUGCGAUACUUGGUGUGAAUUGCAGAAUCCCGCGAAUCAUCGAGUUUUUGAACGCAAGUUGCGCCCGAAGCCAUUCGGCCGAGGGCACGUCUGCCUGGGUGUCACGCAUCGUUGCCCCCCCAAACUCCGGUUCGGGCAGGGCGGAAGUUGGCCUCCCGUGCGUGCCUGCGCGCGCGGUUAGCCCAAAAGCGAGUCCUCGGCGACGAGCGCCACGACAAUCGGUGGUUUUUUUACCCUCGUUCCUCGUCGUGCGUGCCCCGUCGCCCGAACGCGCUCUUGCGACCCUUACGCGUCGCCUCGGCGGCGCUCCCAACGCGAGCCCAGGUCAGGCGGGACUACCCGCUGAGUUUAAGCAUAUCAAUAAGCGGAGGA
RNAcentral lists this unclassified non-coding RNA (389 nucleotides) under soil metagenome. RNAcentral's name for it is "partial contains 5.8S ribosomal RNA, internal transcribed spacer 2, and large subunit ribosomal RNA". The stretch from base 1 to 121 matches the Rfam family "5.8S ribosomal RNA", at positions 36 to 154 of the family's 154-position model. The record is from RNAcentral.